This is a long non-coding RNA of Herpailurus yagouaroundi (jaguarundi), 2372 nucleotides long. RefSeq lists it as uncharacterized. The record is from RefSeq and is a predicted model, not a curated record. Lineage: Eukaryota; Metazoa; Chordata; Mammalia; Carnivora; Felidae. The transcript has 3 exons.
CGAUUUCUUAAGGAAAGCAGCCAUGCGGGACUGAGUCGGGCCGAUGAAGCCGGAACCAAAUCAUCUGGUUUAUCUGCCUGGAGCGAGACUGGGCUCUUUGCAGCAAUGCUGUUCCCCAGAGUUUUCUGGUUUGGCGUCAAGCCCCUGGGACAAAGCCUCACAGGGAAGCAGACCGUGCAAUUGGGCAGAGGACAGCACCCCCCCCCCCCGGCCCCACCUUGUUUUUUUCAAUGUAGUGGCAUCUGUGGUUCGUGUCAAUUCUAAUAACGCUCAAGCCAUCCCACCCUCCAGCCAAACAUUAACAAGGAGGUAAGGUGAGAAGUCCAUAUUAUUUUAAACACAUUUUAAACACAUUGAACAUUUUCAGAAAUGCCAUGUAAGCUAUCGCGGAAUCCCCACCACCCCUAAUACUUCACCGGAUUCAGUGUUCAACCUUCAGUGGAAAAGAGCAACGCAUCCGGAGCCCAGUGUAGUCCCGGCCCUGCUGCUAACCAGCUGUGCGAGGGGGAGCAGCUCCCCACACUCUGCUGUCCCCUCCCCGUGGCCACAAUACAAGCGUUUUCCAGCUAACUCGUGGAGCAGCCACUGUAAGAACCAACGGAAAACAUGAAAGCGUUUUAGAAAUCUACAAUGCAAGGUAUUUAUCACAGCUGGCCUGGUUUAUGUGAAUUGCCUGAGAAGACCUAGAAGGGAGGGGAGAGACGGAUUUUAUUCAGCUAGCUGCCCUCAUCGUCCUCCUGAGCAAGACACAAGGCGAAUUCUUCUCCGUCCACGCAAGCCGAUCGGCACUUACGUACCGCCUGGCUCUUGCUCCAGCUCCUAAGUACCUCCAGGGAAGAAGAUUCUAUCCCACCCAGGCAAUUCAUUCCCCAGUUCAGAAAUCCUCAUUAUCUGGGAGUUCUUUCAAUGUCUACCCAGAGCCCCUUGCACAGCCAAGUGAAUUAAUUGCCUCUUAUUUUGAUCUCGGAGGAGAUAAGGAUUAUCUCCUUCACCCUGGCCUGACCUUGCAGGCUGUUUAGAUUCUUGCUCUGCUGCUGUGUUUUCUUCUUCCUCUCCCCAGUGAAGGAAAGCCAAGAAUUUAUUUUAGAUGCUGUUAAGCGGAAUAUUAAGAAUUUAUCUUACGUGCAGUUCAAAAGAUAAUCUGGCAAGAAAGGAAGCGUCAGAAGGAAGCUGAGGAUAGGCUUCUAGAUAAGGGGAAUAUUUGCAUGUUGCUAACAAAGCCGCCUAUGGCGAGGGCUUCUCCUGAUGUUGAUCACUGAAGUCCCAUCUAAUGCCCAGGAAAGAACCGCCUGGAAGGCAGACAAAAGAAAACAAUGUUUCACAGCAAGGACUGGAGCCCUGAAAAGUCUCUUGCCACCGGCCCAGCAAGGGUAGGGGUCCACAGUGCUCUGUUUUCCAGAAUCUUCCUUUGUAAGACUUGAGAAGGCUCUAAUGGCACUCAGCACAAAAGAUUCAGGGAACAAAAGGGCUGCUGUCCAUAAGGGGGGCCAUUUUGAAUUUGAGGAGAAAAUGGGAAGGGGCAGGCAUGGAAACUGCCACCGUCAGAGUCCACGUUGGCUUAUAUACCAAGGCAGAAACAGGACUUCUGAAGGUCACCACUGGCCUCCCAUCACUGCCGUAGUAAGGCUUUCCUUGUGGCUGUUGUAUGUGAGGCACAUUGCAACGUGGACUGGCCACGUUUUACCUGCCCAGUAGCCACAGGUGGCUCAUGGUCAGCUUACUGGACUUUGCAACUCUGGAUCGUUGCUACUCCAAGGGUGGCCUGCCACCCAGCCACCCCUGUACCGUCUGGUGGUUCACUAGAAAUGCGGAAUCUCAAGCCCUGAAUCAGAAUCUGCAUUUCAGCCAGACCCCCAGGUGGUCUGCGUACGUAUUAAAGUUUGAGCAGCACUAUUGGCUGAAGGCAAACCGGGAGCUUGCAGAAAGCAGAAAGGAAUGCUCUUCUCUUACCUUUCCUUCUUUGUGCCUCUUCCUCCCUCUGGCUUUCCAGAAGGUGCCAGCCCUGGCUCCAUUUGAGACUCCUCUAGAGAGCCUGAAAAAUACGAUACCUGGACUCCGCUCCAGAGAUCUUGAUUUAAUCGGUCCUGGGAGGAGCCCGGGCAACAGGUGUUGUUCAAGAAGUUCCACAGGUGACAGUGACGUACACCUGGGCAGAGAGUCACAGGCUAGCCCAACACUGUAGCCUCGUUCGGUCCUGCCGUGCGACGGGGUGAAUACACCUGAACUCACAUCCUAGAGGGCUUUGGAGUAAGACAGGUCGAGCAAAGCAGCUCACGUAAGCAGUCACAGCUCUGUAAAAUUGCACAAAUACUCCUAAUUGUCCCACAGACUCCUAGUAAUCGAUGCCAUACGUGAAAAUAGUAUCCCUCGGA